GACGAACGCUGGCGGCGUGCCUAAUACAUGCAAGUCGAGCGCAGGAAGCUGACGGAACUCUUCGGAGAGAAGGCCGUGGAAUGAGCGGCGGACGGGUGAGUAACACGUAAGGAACCUGCCUCAAGGAUUGGGAUAACUCCGAGAAAUCGGAGCUAAUACCGGAUAGUUCAACGGACCGCAUGGUCCGCUGAUGAAAGGCGCUUCGGCGUCACCUUGAGAUGGCCUUGCGGUGCAUUAGCUAGUUGGUGGGGUAACGGCCCACCAAGGCGACGAUGCAGAGCCGACCUGAGAGGGUGAUCGGCCACACUGGGACUGCGACACGGCCCAGACUCCUACGGGAGGCAGCAGUAGGGAAUCUUCCACAAUGGACGAAAGUCUGAUGGAGCAACGCCGCGUGAGUGAUGAAGGUUUUCGGAUCGUAAAACUCUGUUGUAAGGGAAGAACACGUACGAGAGAGAAUGCUCGUACCUUGACGGUUCCUUACGAGAAAGCCACGGCUAACUACGUGCCAGCCGCCGCCGUAA
RNAcentral lists this ribosomal RNA (524 nucleotides) under uncultured bacterium. RNAcentral's name for it is "partial 16S ribosomal RNA". It matches the Rfam family "Bacterial small subunit ribosomal RNA", at positions 28 to 523 of the family's 1533-position model. The record is from RNAcentral.